CAGCACCUCAAGUGGUCAGGAUGAUUAUUGGGCCUAAAGCAUCCGUAGCCGGCGCUGUAAGUUUUCGGUUAAAUCUGUACGCUCAACGUACAGGCUGCCGGGAAUACUGCAGCGCUAGGGAGUGGGAGAGGUAGACGGUACUCGGUAGGAAGGGGUAAAAUCCUUUGAUCUAUUGAUGACCACCUGUGGCGAAGGCGGUCUACCAGAACACGUCCGACGGUGAGGGAUGAAAACUGAGGGAGCAAACCGGAUUAGAUACCCGAGUAGUCC
This 270-nucleotide ribosomal RNA is filed under the name uncultured archaeon. RNAcentral's name for it is "partial 16S ribosomal RNA". It matches the Rfam family "Archaeal small subunit ribosomal RNA", at positions 477 to 747 of the family's 1478-position model. The record is from RNAcentral.